Molecule: long non-coding RNA, 278 nt
Organism: Dermacentor andersoni
Lineage: Eukaryota; Metazoa; Arthropoda; Arachnida; Ixodida; Ixodidae
Source: RefSeq, a predicted model, not a curated record
AUUAUUUAGGGGGUUAAAGGGUUGAGUCAUCAAAAAUCAUUACAUUGUUAAUGGCAUUAAUAUUUAUAACUAAUAAAUCUACUUGUAUAUGCAGGUAGCAUGCAAAUGACAUUUGCAGUUAACAUUGAGGAAUGAAAACCCACCACUUUAAGGUGCCAUGAAAGAGCAGCUGCUGCUUCAAUCUUCAAGAGGUCUGCCAAAUACAGCUAUGCAUUUGCACUGAGAAAAUGUUACUUAGCUCUUUCAGAUUGUUCAAAUAAAGUGGUUUAUCAACAGAA